Molecule: non-coding RNA, 94 nt
Filed under: human gut metagenome
Description: THF riboswitch
Rfam family: THF (Tetrahydrofolate) riboswitch aptamer
About the family: THF riboswitch presents a pseudoknot that joins P1-P2 and the loop of P3 and two THF binding.
Source: RNAcentral
CAGAGUAGGUGCCCUGCGUGAAGUGCUGCCAAAAUGGGGAGUUGUCUGGCAGACGAAGGACGUGCGUCCGCGAUGGGGUCACCGCACCCGCUGU